GCCCUAGUAACGGCGAGUGAAGCGGCAACAGCUCAAAUUUGAAAUCUGGCGCAAGCCCGAGUUGUAAUUUGUAGAGGAUGCUUCUAGGUUGCGGCCGGUCUAAGUUCCUUGGAACAGGACGUCACAGAGGGUGAGAAUCCCGUAUGUGACCGGCUUGCACCUUCUACGUAGCUCCUUCGACGAGUCGAGUUGUUUGGGAAUGCAGCUCUAAAUGGGAGGUAAAUGUCUUCUAAAGCUAAAUACCGGCCAGAGACCGAUAGCGCACAAGUAGAGUGAUCGAAAGAUGAAAAGCACUUUGGAAAGAGAGUUAAAAAGCACGUGAAAUUGUUGAAAGGGAAGCGCAUGCAACCAGACUUGUCGGCGGUGUUCCGCCGGUCUUCUGACCGGUCUACUCGCCGCCGACAGGCCAGCAUCGUCUGGGGGCGCCGGAGAAAGGUGCCAGGAAUGUAGCUCCUCGGAGUGUUAUAGCCUGGCACACAAUACGGUGACUCCCGGGCGAGGUCCGCGCUUCGGCUAGGAUGCUGGCGUAAUGGUUGCCUGCGACCCGUCUUGAAACACGGACCAAGGAGUCGACCAUCUGUGCGAGUGUUCGGGUGUUAAACCCCUACGCGUAAUGAAAGUGAACGGAGGUGGGAACGCAAGUGCACCAUCGACCGAUCCUGAUGUCCUCGGACGGAUUUGAGUAAGAGCAUAGCUGGUCGGACCCGAAAGAUGGUGAACUAUGCCUGAAUAGGGUGAAGCCAGAGGAAACUCUGGUG
Molecule: ribosomal RNA, 758 nt
Filed under: Devriesia staurophora
Lineage: Eukaryota; Fungi; Ascomycota; Dothideomycetes; Mycosphaerellales; Teratosphaeriaceae
Description: eukaryotic LSU rRNA
Rfam family: Eukaryotic large subunit ribosomal RNA
Source: RNAcentral